GCAGCGGUCGGGCGACUCAGGCAACCGCUCCGGCUCCGAGCAAGGGAGCCUGGACCGGCGGCCGCUGCCGCUGCUGCCCAGCCGGCGCGUGCAGGGACCGCAGAAGCGUGGCGUGUACGCGCUGAGCGAGCCACCGCCGCCGCCUCCGCCGCCGCCUUCGUCCGAGUACGUGUAGCAGCGGCGACGCGGCGGCCCUUUGUGCAAUAGUGAGCGCGCGUGCCGCGGGGACGAGGUAGGUGGCGGACGGCGGAUGGGUGCAAACCCGGGCCGAUCGACGCGGUGUCGCUGCCGAAAAACGCGUCACUCUCGCACAAAAACGGCGGCGUGUAAGCCGCUUGGAGAGCUUACCGGCGCAAAGCGUUGUUUUUCGCCGGCAAGCGAUGUGAUGGUAUCAUCUAGUCACGACUUCCCUGCAUCUGGAGGCAAAAACGACGGCACAAAAACGCGGUCGAACUGCGCACCGCCGCGGCCAACAAGCUCACUUGUGUUUACCCCGGAGUCACACUUCUAUAUUUCUUCAUAAACGUCCGGCGCAUAGAAGAGGGCAGCGCCGCCUGGCGAUUUAUCGCUCGCCGAUUCGCGCCGCCCGCUGCAGAAGCCACAGCGCCACGGGACGCCAGCCUCAGAUGAGCGGAGCGCCGCCGCGACCUGGCGACCCGGGCGGCCGACGAGACCUCCAGCGCUCGGGCCUCCGGUAGCGACGGACGGCCCGUCUCACUGGGAGCCGGCCGAGACCACGCGGUGCGGCCGACUGCGACCAUUCCAGCGCGUCAGCACGACUCGGUCCAUUCCAUGCCAGCCUCGGCUGAGAUCAUAUCAAAAUGCGCUGCACUCAGGGGCCGACUCCAUGCUAUUGUGAUAUGUCCUGGAUCGUGUGAACUUUGUGUGUGCGUGUGCGUGUGUAUAUACUGUGUUCUUGGGAGCGUAUUAUCGUCCUAUAUACCAAAUCGCAUUCAAGAAUAAACACUUCGAGAUG
Pollicipes pollicipes is the source of this 976-nucleotide long non-coding RNA. RefSeq lists it as uncharacterized. NCBI's taxonomy places the organism in Eukaryota, Metazoa, Arthropoda, Thecostraca, Pollicipedomorpha, Pollicipedidae. The record is from RefSeq and is a predicted model, not a curated record. The transcript has 2 exons.